CCUACGGAUGGCAGCAGUGAGGAAUAUUGGUCAAUGGACGCAAGCCUGAACCAGCCAAGUAGCGUGCAGGAUGACGGCCCUACGGGUUGUAAACUUCUUUUAUAAAGGGGUAAAGUGAGACACGUGUGCCUUUUUGAAUGUACUUUAUGAAUAAGGAUCGGCUAACUCCGUGCCAGCAGCCGCGGUAAUACGGAGGAUUCGAGCGUUAUCCGGAUUUAUUGGGUUUAAAGGGUGCGUAGGUGGUUUGUUAAGUUAGUGGUGAAAGUUUGAGGCUCAACCGUGGAAUUGCCAUUGAUACUGGCAGCCUUGAGUAUAGUUGAGGUAGGCGGAAUGCGUGGUGUAGCGGUGAAAUGCUUAGAGAUCACGAAGAACUCCGAUUGCGAAGGCAGCUUACUAAGCUGCCACUGACAUUGAUGCUCGAAAGUGUGGGUAUCAAACAGGAUUAGAUACCCGAGUAGUC
This 460-nucleotide ribosomal RNA is filed under the name uncultured bacterium. RNAcentral describes it as "partial 16S ribosomal RNA". It matches the Rfam family "Bacterial small subunit ribosomal RNA", at positions 338 to 795 of the family's 1533-position model. The record is from RNAcentral.